RNAcentral lists this ribosomal RNA (868 nucleotides) under uncultured archaeon. RNAcentral's name for it is "bacterial SSU rRNA". It matches the Rfam family "Archaeal small subunit ribosomal RNA", at positions 1 to 878 of the family's 1478-position model. The record is from RNAcentral.
CUCCGGGUGAUCCUGCCGGACCCGACUGCUAUCAGAGUGGGACUAAGCCAUGCGGGUCAACGUAGCAAUACGUGGCAUACGGCUCAGUAACACGUAGUCAACAUGCCCAGGGGACGAGGAUAACCUCGGGAAACUGAGGAUAAACCUCGAUAGGCCAUGAUUUCUGGAAUGAUUCUUGGCUCAAACCUAUAUGGCCCCUGGAUUGGACUGCGGCCGAUCAGGCUGUUGGUGAGGUAAUGGCCCACCAAACCUAUUACCGGUACGGGCUCUGAGAGGAGGAGCCCGGAGAUGGGCACUGAGACAAGGGCCCAGGCCCUAUGGGGCGCAGCAGGCGCGAAACCUCUGCAAUAGGCGAAAGCUUGACAGGGUUACUCUGAGUGAUUUCCGCUAAGGGAAUCUUUUGGCACCUCUAAAAAUGGUGCAGAAUAAGGGGUGGGCAAGUCUGGUGCCAGCCGCCGCGGUAAUACCAGCACCCCGAGUGGUCGGGACGUUUAUUGGGCCUAAAGCAUCCGUAGCCGGUUCUACAAGUCUUCCGUUAAAUCCACCUGCUUAACAGAUGGGCUGCGGAAGAUACUAUAGAGCUAGGAGGCGGGAGAGGCAAGCGGUACUCGAUGGGUAGGGGUAAAAUCCGUUGAUCCAUUGAAGACCACCAGUGGCGAAGGCGGCUUGCCAGAACGCGCUCGACGGUGAGGGAUGAAAGCUGGGGGAGCAAACCGGAUUAGAUACCCGGGUAGUCCCAGCUGUAAACGAUGCAGACUCGGUGAUGAGUUGGCUUAUUGCUAACUCAGUGCCGCAGGGAAGCCGUUAAGUUUGCCGCCUGGGGAGUACGGUCGCAAGACUGAAACUUAAAGGAAUUGGCGGGGGAGCA